Molecule: ribosomal RNA, 253 nt
Filed under: uncultured bacterium
Lineage: Bacteria
Description: partial 16S ribosomal RNA
Rfam family: Bacterial small subunit ribosomal RNA
Source: RNAcentral
UACGUAGGGUGCGAGCGUUAAUCGGAAUUACUGGGCGUAAAGCGUGCGCAGGCGGUUUUGUAAGUCAGAUGUGAAAUCCCCGGGCUUAACCUGGGAACUGCGCUUGAAACUACAAGGCUAGAGUGUGGCAGAGGGGGGUGGAAUUCCACGUGUAGCAGUGAAAUGCGUAGAGAUGUGGAGGAACACCGAUGGCGAAGGCAGCCCCCUGGGUUAACACUGACGCUCAGGCACGAAAGCUAGGGGAGCAAACAGG